Molecule: small RNA, 297 nt
Filed under: Pan troglodytes (chimpanzee)
Lineage: Eukaryota; Metazoa; Chordata; Mammalia; Primates; Hominidae
Description: retained intron
Source: RNAcentral
ACCCGGGGCAACAGCUGAGCCGUCUGGGAAGGGAUGCAUCUUUUCUUCUGUAUGCUUGAGUCAAGAACUCUUAAGUCAUCUUGGUAAUACCGGGUUGGAUGCUUAAAGCUGCAGCAAAAAGACCAGAACUUUCAGGUAAAAUUGAAAAUUGUUAAUAUCCAGCCAGUCAACAAUACAGAUGCAAACCUACCUUCUCGACUUAAUUUCUGCUUCCUUAGUACUUACACGCCAGCCAAAAUGAACUACUCUUGUUUCUUUGCUGUUAAUUACUGAAAUCUGUUGUAGCAGUCACCUUUU